GUUUCCUCGAUCUCUCCUCGUGUUACCCACUCUCUCUCCUUUUCUCUCCACAGGUAUCAACUUGGGCACAAUAGCACAGUUAGUUUGCUUUGAAUGGCUCUCACCUCUGGGCUGGACACAGCGUACUGUAAGUACAGGUUUCCUCUGUUUCUCCUUGUGUUACUCACUCUCUCUUUCCUUUUCUCUCCACAGGUAUCAACUUGGGCACAAUAGCACAGUUAGUUUGCUUUGAAUGGCUCUCACCUCUGGGCUGGACACAGCGUACUGUAAGUACAGGUUUCCUCGAUCUCUCCUCGUGUUACCCACUCUCUCUCCUUUUCUCUCCACAGGUAUCAACUUGGGCACAAUAGCACAGUUAGUUUGCUUUGAAUGGCUCUCACCUCUGGGCUGG
Cyprinus carpio carpio is the source of this 391-nucleotide long non-coding RNA. Lineage: Eukaryota; Metazoa; Chordata; Actinopteri; Cypriniformes; Cyprinidae. The record is from Ensembl.